RNAcentral lists this ribosomal RNA (468 nucleotides) under uncultured bacterium. Its description in RNAcentral is "partial 16S ribosomal RNA". It matches the Rfam family "Bacterial small subunit ribosomal RNA", at positions 28 to 507 of the family's 1533-position model. The record is from RNAcentral.
GACGAACGCUGGCGGCGUGCUUAACACAUGCAAGUCGAGCGGACAGGCCAUGCUUUUGCGGGGUGCUCGAUAGGCGAGCGGGUGAGUAAAACGCGAGUAUAAUGCCCUUGUCUUUGGGAUAACUUCAGGAAAAUGGGGAUAAUACCGGGUAGGAGCUCCUGAAGCAUGGUGGGGGUUGGAAAGUUUCGGCGGUGGUGGAUGGUAUAGCGGCUUAUCAGCUUGAUGGUGGGGUAGUGGCUUACCAAGGCUUUGACGGCUAGCCGGCCUUAGCGGGUGACCGGCCACAUUGGGACUGAGAUACGGCCCAGACUCCUACGUGAGGCAGCAGUGGAGAGUAUGGCGCAAUGGGCCGAAGCCUGAUGCAGCAACGCCGCGUGCGUGAUGACGGCCUUCUGGUUGUAAACCGCUUUCGCCGUUGACGAAGCGUUAGUGACGGUAAUUGGUAAAGAAGCACCGGCUAACUACGUG